RNAcentral lists this ribosomal RNA (253 nucleotides) under uncultured bacterium. RNAcentral's name for it is "partial 16S ribosomal RNA". It matches the Rfam family "Bacterial small subunit ribosomal RNA", at positions 524 to 776 of the family's 1533-position model. The record is from RNAcentral.
UACGGAGGGAGCUAGCGUUGUUCGGAAUUACUGGGCGUAAAGCGCACGUAGGCGGCUUUGUAAGUUAGAGGUGAAAGCCCGGGGCUCAACCCCGGAAUUGCCUUUAAGACUGCAUCGCUUGAAUCCGGGAGAGGUGAGUGGAAUUCCGAGUGUAGAGGUGAAAUUCGUAGAUAUUCGGAAGAACACCAGUGGCGAAGGCGACCUACUGGACACAUAUUGACGCUGAGGUGCGAAAGCGUGGGGAGCAAACAGG